AACGAACGCUGGCGGCAUGCCUAACACAUGCAAGUCGAACGAGACCUUCGGGUCUAGUGGCGCACGGGUGCGUAACGCGUGGGAACCUGCCCUAGGUUCGGAAUAACUCCCCGAAAGGGGUGCUAAUACCGGAUAAUGUCUUCGGACCAAAGAUUUAUCGCCUUUGGAUGGGCCCGCGUUGGAUUAGCUAGUUGGUAGGGUAAAAGCCUACCAAGGCGACGAUCCAUAGCUGGUCUGAGAGGAUGAUCAGCCACACUGGGACUGAGACACGGCCCAGACUCUCAGGGGGGGAAGAAGGGGGAAAUAUGGAAAAAGGGGCAAAGGCUGAACCAAUCAAGGCCGGGGGAGUAAUGAGGCCUUUAGGGUUGAAAAUCUUUUUUCCCCGGGAGGAAAAGGACAGAGCGGGGAAAAAAAGCCCGGGCUAACCCGGGC
RNAcentral lists this ribosomal RNA (432 nucleotides) under uncultured bacterium. RNAcentral's name for it is "partial 16S ribosomal RNA". It matches the Rfam family "Bacterial small subunit ribosomal RNA", at positions 29 to 508 of the family's 1533-position model. The record is from RNAcentral.